RNAcentral lists this transfer RNA (67 nucleotides) under Hafnia alvei. It matches the Rfam family "tRNA". From Rfam's summary of the family: Transfer RNA (tRNA) molecules are approximately 80 nucleotides in length. Their secondary structure includes four short double-helical elements and three loops (D, anti-codon, and T loops). Further hydrogen bonds mediate the characteristic L-shaped molecular structure. tRNAs have two regions of fundamental functional importance: the anti-codon, which is responsible for specific mRNA codon recognition, and the 3' end, to which the tRNAs corresponding amino acid is attached (by aminoacyl-tRNA synthetases). tRNAs cope with the degeneracy of the genetic code in two manners: having more than one tRNA (with a specific anti-codon) for a particular amino acid; and 'wobble' base-pairing, i.e. permitting non-standard base-pairing at the 3rd anti-codon position. The record is from RNAcentral. Lineage: Bacteria; Pseudomonadati; Pseudomonadota; Gammaproteobacteria; Enterobacterales; Hafniaceae. RNAcentral also lists the same sequence under 13 other names.
UCGUUAGCUCAGUUGGUAGAGCAGUUGACUUUUAAUCAAUUGGUCGCAGGUUCGAAUCCCGCACGAC